Molecule: ribosomal RNA, 437 nt
Filed under: uncultured Lachnospiraceae bacterium
Lineage: Bacteria; Bacillati; Bacillota; Clostridia; Lachnospirales; Lachnospiraceae
Description: bacterial SSU rRNA
Rfam family: Bacterial small subunit ribosomal RNA
Source: RNAcentral
ACGGAAGGCAGCAGUGGGGAAUAUUGCACAAUGGGGGAAACCCUGAUGCAGCGACGCCGCGUGAGUGAAGAAGUAUUUCGGUAUGUAAAGCUCUAUCAGCAGGGAAGAAAACAAUGACGGUACCUGACUAAGAAGCCCCGGCUAACUACGUGCCAGCAGCCGCGGUAAUACGUAGGGGGCAAGCGCUAUCCGGAUUUACUGGGUGUAAAGGGAGCGUAGGCGGUUUGGCAAGCCAGAAGUGAAAACCCGGGGCUCAACCUCGGGAUUGCUUUUGGAACUGUCGAACUAGAGUGUUGGAGAGGUAAGUGGAAUUCCUAGUGUAGCGGUGAAAUGCGUAGAUAUUAGGAGGAACACCAGUGGCGAAGGCGGCUUACUGGACAAUAACUGACGCUGAGGCUCGAAAGCGUGGGGAGCAAACAGGAUUAGAUACCCUGGUA